GGGUGGCGGGAGCUGGAGGAGGAGGGAGCAGGGAGCCGGAGGUGGGUGUAUGGGGGCGGGAGCCCAGGGCCUAGGAGGGUUUCCGGAGGCUCAGUGACAGGUGCUGUGGGGCAUGGCGGGGGUCCACCUUUCCUUGCCCUCUGCCAACUCCCCCCAUCCCAGAUGUCUUUGCCCGGGCCUGCCCUCCCCACCCCCCCUCCAGCAAGCUCAAGGUGGGCACAGUGGGAAACACAGCCUUGCUCAAUAGAGCAAAGCGAUAGGCUUCUCUUAUUUUUCUUUGGAUAAAGGAUCCGCUGAGCCUGGAAAACGUGGACUCCAGAGAGGGUGGUCUGAUCGCCUCAGAGGUCUGAAGGCCAGAGGGGGAGGGGGAGCCCAGAACAUCCAUCCCUCAUCAACACACACACACACAACACACACACACACACACACACACAGGCGCCAAAAUACCCCAUAUUUGGUCCUGUCUCCCUCACCUCCAUUCCCACCCUACCCCCAUCCCCUCCACAAAACAAGUUUCUCAGGGUGGGAGGCUGCAAGGUAGAAUUUCCAAGGAAGUCAUUUCAGGACUCCUCUCUGAGGAACACUAAACCCCUUUACCUUCCGCCCCUCCUCUCCCAGAAUAAUAGCUGAAUGGUUACUCCACAAAUCACCAGGACCACACCUAAUUUAUAGAGUUCAUGCUUAUUUAAGGAGCUGUCUCCUAUUUAGUACCCUCUCCUCUAACCUUCUUCCUCCAUUGUCCUCUUGCAACACACACACACUGUCACUAUGAAGGGCAGUUGGAUUUGGGGAGAUGCGAGACUGAAGAGACCUACAGAGGCCCACCUAGCUCUAACCUGGGGGGAGGGGAGCUCCUCCUGAAACAAUGGAAAAAAUGCUGAAGGAGCCACCAGGCAGCUUCUGGUGUCUAAAGCCCCUUUCAGCCCCAACCUGGUUUGAAUGCCUAGAAAUGACUUACCUCACCACCACAGAAGCUACCUCCUCUUCAGAGAGAAGAUAAUCAUAAGGAUCUUAACAUUGUGAAUCGUGGCUUUGAAACAGGUAAGCUGUGCGCUUCCAGGCCUGACCCUUACAAUGAGGAAGAGGAGAGUCUAUUUCAAUUACGGCAAGUCACAGGCCUCAAUUUCUGGCUGCAGAUCUAGAGGAUGACCUAAACUUUCAACUUCCAAAGAAAAUUUGAAGACCUACAAAUAAAUAUCUACAACAAGUUACGGUUCUUCUAGUUACAUAUGCUACCACACGUUCUUUAUCUUGCCAGCAUUAAGGAAAUAAGGCAAAGACGAGGUCGGAGCCUUCAGGAGGAACUUUAAGAAGAGGAAGAAGUGGACUCCCAAGGACUGUGGAGCUGGACGUGGCCAUAGGGAACAUCUCCAAAUCUCUCACUUUUCAGAUAAGAAUUAAGAAGACAGCGAGCACACUGGGAGGCUGAGAGGUGGUGGUGCUGAUGAUGGUGAAGUCACCGUGCUGAUGAAGGCUGAGUCGGUGGAGGUGGCGUGAUGCGAGGUACAGGAGACUGGAGUGCAGGAGAGAGAGGAAGUGGGGUCCUCUAUUAACAUCUCAUUGUGGUCUGAAUCCAUCAGGGCAGGCAGGUCACUAACUCACUAAGGUCUACAGCUCUGAUGUCCGCCUGCCUGCACGUCGAAGGUCGAGGUUCCUCGUCUGCUGUGGCUGCUGUGGCUGCUGUGGCUGAUGUGGCUGAUGGGGAAGACUUGAAAUAGCACAGUAUGCUUGACUGCUUAGCCUCUAUAACGUCUCGCUGCAAAACAAACGCUGAACACUAUUUUUGCUUUUUUUCGUAAAAGUGAAAAUCUUCUUCAAAUUUCUUUUGGUUUUGAAAACAGGUACUAAUGUAGGCUUUUCGUAAAAGCGAAGUGGCAUAAAGCGAACUUUUGAAUAGUAGAGGAAACUUGUACUGUCCAGGCUAUUAUUUUUCAGCGAUUUUGUAAUUGUUUUGACUUUAAUCUUUUGGUGAUAUCUCUUUGUUAUUUUUUUUAUAUUUCCAUUUCCAAAUUAUGCCACUGCUUUGUUCCUUGUCCAUAAUCGGGGUAAUCCCAGGAUUAUUAGGCACUUCUGAUGUGGCUCCUCAUCUAUCCUGGAACUGCUCUUACGAUCUCAAAAUGAGACAGGACACAUGGUUCGCAUGGAGUUGGUUAGAGCACGUUUACUACAGAAGAUGGCUCAAUAAGGAGAGCUGGUGGGGCAAAUCAAAGCCAGAAUCCUUGAGGAGAACUAGGAGGAGCUGAAGAUCCCACAGACAACCUGCACGUCCAAAGAUGCUGGAAUAGGAUAGCGAGUGAGUUAACAGAGAGAGGAGUUAAGAACUGGAAAGACUGCUGUGAAUAUUGACUUCAUUGGACUUGUGGGUUUGAGGUGAAUGGCAACUGGCUUAUGGAAGUUAAAGAUACAUGGUGAGGGGCAUAGUGUAUAUUAUGGAGAAUUCUGUGCCUCCCUGCAAGUGAGCAUUUCUAUGAGGCUGGAUCGCAAUAUGAUACUUAUGUUAUUUAAUGAUCAUAUACUGCCUGAUUCAUUAUUCUUUGUCCAUCUUAAAGUGCAUUGUACAUUUCUUGACCCCAUGAUCCGCUUAAUCCCAUGGAAUCUAAUGUGAGGUUCAGGAAUUUAUUAUGCAUGAUGUGAUGCUAUCUCUCUUCUCUCUCUCUCUCUCUCUCUCUAUAGACACAGAUACAUACACACACAUGCAAACAUAUAUAUCUGUGUGUGUAUAUA
This is a long non-coding RNA of Equus caballus (horse), 2724 nucleotides long. RefSeq lists it as uncharacterized. The record is from RefSeq and is a predicted model, not a curated record. NCBI's taxonomy places the organism in Eukaryota, Metazoa, Chordata, Mammalia, Perissodactyla, Equidae.